CUGGUCUCACACAUCUCCGGCUUCCUCUCUGCCAUCGGCGUACACUCCGUCGGCGACCUAAUUUACCUGAAGGAGGAAGACCUGGAGCUGCUCAAGCCAGUCACACGCAGAAGGAUCCUCAGUUGUUACCGGAAAUAAAGCCAGAAUAUCCUGCGUGUGUUGGUCCUUCAUCCUGUGCUGCGCCGGCCUCGCCUGCUGCCUGCUGUGGUUAUCCUGCCGGCUGCCAGAACACAUGGAUAUAUAUAUAGUUGUGUUGAAAGAGCCAGUGUAGAGCCCACUGUACUUUCAUGCCGCAUACCACCACCUCUAUCUACUAAUCCUGCUUCCCCAAUCCAUUUUUGGUGCCGCUUAAGCGUGCGAUCUACCAGUCUGCCCCCAUAUUUACAAUCCAGCGUGCGGUCUGCCUCAACUACAGGAACCUUAUAGUGCAGGAUGAUGAAAAACAAGUUGAAUAGUGCUGAAUAAUGAUUUAUUAUUGAUUAGAAGAUUGUUUGUUCUUAAAAUUCAACUACUGUUUUGUCCAUCAAAAUGACACGUCUAUAGAAAUCUCUCAACAGCAUUGUAGUUAUACAGCAGAAUGAGUUACACUGAUGUUAUCGACUUCAAUGUAAGGAGGAUGUUGACGUCGGUGUUUGUUGAUUGUCCUUUUAUAUAGACCAGUCAGGAGCACUCAGGUGACAAGACAACAUAGGCUGAGGUCUCCGGGGACAGGUCAGGCCAUUACAUAACUUAGACUACGGUGACUGUGGUCAGGUCAUUACUCGGGUCAGGAACAAUCAGGUAACAAUGCUGCAUCAGAUGAGGUAUCGGGAGGUCAGGUCAUUAUGUAGUUUAGACUACAAAUACUGGGCUAGACUUCAAAUACUGCCGUAGACCGCACGCUAAAGUAGCACCCCAUUUUUUUUUACCUCCAUCCGCCCCCCCCCCCCUCCCUCCCGCCACUCCCAUCCCUCCCUCGUUAAUCAAGCAGGUUUGAAAUAGCCAAGGUGUGUCCCGCUACCAUCAUUACUCUGCCUCCCCAGUUUACUGCCUGCCUCCACCUGCACCUCCACAAUUAUACCUACUCCUCUCUACUCAAGACUGUCUCCUCAUGCCUCAUACCUCCACCUCUGUCUACCUAACCUUGCUUCCCCAAUCCAUCCUCCCUUUGAUGGCCAGGCUGCGUCUACUCCACCGCCUAAUCACUACUUUACUCUGCUUCACUUUUCCAUCUCUUGCCCUCACCCGCGCCCGUCUCAUCCUUCCUCUACCUAAGUCUUUUUCAGAGCCAAGCUGUAUCUACCUGCUGUGGCUUGUAUACAUACAUAGUUUUAGUCAGCAUAGUAUAUUUUGAAUAAAGUGUGUGCAAGGAU
Molecule: long non-coding RNA, 1352 nt
Organism: Eriocheir sinensis (Chinese mitten crab)
Lineage: Eukaryota; Metazoa; Arthropoda; Malacostraca; Decapoda; Varunidae
Exons: 2
Source: RefSeq, a predicted model, not a curated record